This 26016-nucleotide long non-coding RNA is filed under the name Triticum aestivum (bread wheat). Its description in RNAcentral is "long non-coding RNA (TAES_LNC012047)". The record is from RNAcentral. Lineage: Eukaryota; Viridiplantae; Streptophyta; Magnoliopsida; Poales; Poaceae.
CAGAUCCCAAGGUAUAUCAAAGACAAUUUUAAUUAACUAUGAUUUGUGAUUUAGUAGUGAGCACAAAGUAACAUAUAUCAUGUAAUGACGAAGUCUAACCCUCUUCCUAUGCAUCGGCAUGUCAUAAAAGAACAAUUCAUGCACACAUAGUAAAGGCCAAUGCAUAGUAUAAACAUUUUCUUGCAAUGCUAUCAUAUUGGAAACAUAAAGAGGCAGAGAUAUAGUUCCUCUCUCAUAAUAAUUGCAAGUAGGAGCAGCAAGCACAUGCAUAUUACAUUCAUCAAAAUCAUCAUGUGCAAUGGUAAAAGGCAACCCAUCAAUAUAAUCCUUACUAAGCGCAAACUUCUCCGAUAUAGUGUAGUCGGGAGAAUUCAAAAAGAUAAUAGGACUAUCAUGCGUGGGUGCAAUAGCAACAAUUUCAUGUUUAACAUAAGGAACUAUAGCAAGUUCAUCUCCAUAAGCAUAGUUCAUAUUGGCAUCUUGGCCACAAGCAUAGCAAGCAUCAUCAAAAAGGGAUAUUUCAAGAGAAUCAACGGGAUCAUAGCAAUCAUCCUUUGGUAAGCACGAAGGGGAAUUAAACAAUGUAUGAGUUGAAGAGUUACUAUCAUUAGAAGGUGGGCACGGGUGAUCAAUUCGCUCUUCCUCCUUUUGUUCUUCGCUCUCCUCAUCAUCUUUUUCAUCCAAUGAGCUCACAGUUUCAUCAAUUUCUUCUUCCAUAGCUUCCUACAAAAUAUUAUUCUCUUCUUGGACAGCGGAGACUUUAUCAAUAAAUGCAUCAAUAUUGUAAUUGUAUUCAUAAUUCUUAUAACAAUAUCUAAGUAUAGCAAAAUUUUCAGGUUUAUAAACUGAAUCAUAAAAAUCAACAAAAUCAUCAAACUCUUUAAACAUAGAUUCAAUCUCGUAAGCACCCAUAAAAGCAACAAAUUCUUCUAUUUGUUCCACAUCAUAGUAAUCAUAUCUACCAUUAGCAUAAGAAGCUAAGGUUUCAUUAUCAUUGAAUUUGCAUGAAAAGGGAAGGUGUGGAGCCUUCACCCUAGAGCAACAAGUAUAAUCAUGUAUCAAGCAUAGUUGACGAGCAUACCAACGCAACACAGAAAUUUUAUCCCAUAAUAGUUUCCCUUUUUGUGUCAAGCGAUAAUCCCUAAAGUAUUCACGUUGAUCCAAUGUGUCUCCCAGAAUAAAGUUGAAUGGGGUUUUCUCAGGAUUAUCAAAGUAGUACAUAAUUUCUGUCACAUAGCGAGCAUUGAGGGUUUUAGGAGGUUCCCCAUCUCCAUGAGUAGCAAGUACACCUAAUUUUUUUGGUAUUUCAUGUUCCAUAUCCAUAGCUAAAGAUAAAGAACAACUUAGAAUAGCAAAUAAAAAUUACUUAGUGAUAAAGCAAACAAGCACACACGAGAAUAUUCACCCCACGCUAUGACUCCCCGGCAACGGCGCAAGAAAAAGGUUUUGAUAACCCGCAAGUAUACGGGAUCAAUUGUAGCCUCUUUCGAUAAGUAUUCGAACCCAACGAGGAGCUAAAGGUAGAACAAAUAUUCUCUCAAGUCCUACCUGCCACUGAUACGACUCUAUGAAUGCUUAGUGUUCGCUUUACCUAGAACAAGUAUGAAACUAGAAGUACUUUGUACGUGUUGUUGGAUAGGUUUGCAAAAUAAUAAAGAGCGCGUAAAUAUAAACUAGGGGCUGUUUAUAUAAAUAAGCAAUAAAGUAAAUAUAGCGAGUGUGGAAAAGUGGUGGUCGGAGUUGUAAAAUUGUCCCUAAGCAAUUGACUAUGUUACUAGACCGGUAAUCACUUUUGCAAUUCUGUUUGUGGGAGAGGCAUAAGCUAACAUACUUUCUCUUCUUGGAUCAUAUGCACUUAUGAUUGGAACUCUAGCAAGCAUCCGCAACUACUAAAGAUCAUUAAGGUAAAACCCAACCAUAGCAUUAAAGCAUCAAGUCCCCUUUAUCCCAUACGCAAACAACCUACUUACUUGGGUUUGUGCUUCUGUCACUCACGCAACCCACCAUAAGCAAAUCAUGAACAUAUUGCAAACCCUACAGCGGGGAUCCCUCACGCUUGUGCGACACGGAGAGCACCAUAGGAUAGCACCAAUAAUAAAAUAUACAACUCAAACCAAUCAUAGCAAUUCAUCAAUCACCGAUAGGACAACGAAAAUCUACUCAGACAUCAUAGGAUGGCAACACAUCAUUGGAUAAUAAUAUGAAGCAUAAAGCACCAUGUUCAAGUAGAGCGUACAGAGGGUUGCGGGAGAGUGGACCUCUGAAUAUAGAUGGGGGAACGUGAUGGAGAUGUUGGUGAAGAUGAUGGAGGUGUUGGUGAAGAUCGCGGUGAUGAUGAUGGCCCCAGGCGGCGUUCCGGCGCCUCCGGAAGCAAGGGGGAGAGAGCUCCCAUUCUUCUUCUUCUUCCUUGACCUUCUCCCUAGAUGGGAGAAGGGUUUCCCCUCUGGUCCUUGGCUCCCAUGAUGUUGGAGGGGCGAGAGCCCCUCCGAGAUUGUAUCUAUCUCUCUGUCUCUCUCUGUUUCUGCGUUCCCAGAUCCUUCCCCUUCACCGUUUCUUUUAUAUCCGGAGAUCCGUAACUCCAAUUGGGGUGAAUCUUUCACCCAGAUUUUUCUCAUAAAAUUAGCUUUAUUAUGGCAAAAGAAGAGCAUCAACCACCUUACGGGUGGCCCACGAGGGUGCCAGCCACGCCCAGGGGGAGGGCGCGCUCCCCUGUCUCGUGGCCACCUCGGGCCGUUUCGCGUUUAUUCUUCCUCCGGAAAAUCCCAAACAUUCCAAAAUAAUUCUCCGUCCGUUUUAUCCCAUUUGGAUUUCGUUUGAUAUUGGGUUUCUACGAAACAUAAAACAUGCAAGAAACAGGAACUGGCACUCGGCACUGGAUCAAUAUGUUAGUCCCAAAAAAUAGUAUAAAAAGUUGCCAAAAGUAUGUGAAAGUUGAAUAAUAUUGGCAUGGAACAAUCAAAAAUUAUAGAUACGACGGAGACGUAUCAACCCACACCUUUAUAAAGAAGAAGUAGAUGGUGUUAUUAGAUGUUGUGUACCUGAGCAUGAACAGGAAUAGAUCCUACGUAAGUGCCACUCCGAGGCUUACGGAGGACACCAUGCUGGAGAUAGAACUGCACACAUGGUAUUACAAUCUAGUUUUUAUUGGCCUGCUCUCUUCAAGGAUGCUCGUAAGCUUGUAUUGUCUUGUGAUGAAUGCCAGAGAAUUGGCAAUAUUAGUAGACGUCAGGAAAUGCCUAUGAAUGAUUCACUUGCUAUUGAACCAUUUGAUGUUUGGGGCUUUGAUUAUAUGUGACAUUUUCCUUCCUCUAAUGGGUAUACACAUAUUUUAGUUGAUGUUGAUUAUGUUACUAAGUGGGUAGAAGCAAUUCCAACUAGUAGUGUUGAUCAUAACACUUCUAUUAAGAUGCUUAGAGAAGUUAUUUUUUUUUGAGGUUUGGAGUCCCUAGAUAUUUAAUGACUAAUGGUGGUUCACAUUUCAUCCAUGGUGCUUUCCGUAAAUUUCUUGCUAAGUAUGAUGUUAACCAUAUGAUGCGGAGCAUCCUUCAAUCAUCCCCAUGGACACCACUUCGAUUACACAAGCUCCAAGUGGACCCAUGACAAGAGCUCGAGCACGUGCCAUCCAAUCUGAGGUUAACUCUCUCCUUGUUGAACUUCCCUUUGACCCACUUGAGACGUGGAUACUACCUCAAACGGAGAUGCUUUGUGUGCUUAGGUACCAAGGAACCAACCUAGAAGAAGCUACGGUACAAGAUGGACGUCGAGAGCAAGAGGAGAAGCUUCCCAGCAUGGAACGAGCGGUACUACCACCCACGCCAAGCGGUACUGCCGCUGAACCUAGCCAAGCGGCACUAUCGUUCUACAUCCGCCCUCCUUCCGCCGAACCCGACAAACUCAUGUGAUCGAACCGCUCUAGAGUGGCACUACCGCCCCAUCAAAGCGGUACUACCGCUGAAGCUCUGCAAGCGGUACUACCGCCCAAGGGUCCGGUACUACCGCCCUGCCUGUGUGCAGCGUAUCCGGGCCGAGGCCCAUGUACUCGUUCCGCCCCUCUUUUACCCCUUCAAAGGCUUAGACUAUAAAUAGACCUUCCCCUCGUCCUUUCUAGGGUUAGCAUUGUGAUAGCUCGUUUGAGAUAGAGCAUUGCUCAUCCGUACUGGAUCUACUCCACGUGAGGGACCGUGCCUCUUCGGAGAAGAUCCAUCCGGAUUCAAGGCCUCCAUCCGGAGAAGACAAUCAAGACCUCCUCACGGAGAAGAACGGUUACCCUUGUAUCUUCCCUUUGUUGACUUUGGAUCUUGUGUUACCUUAUGCUUUCGGUGAUCUAGCCCUUGUGUGAUCAUUCACUUGUCGGUUGAGUGUUUCUCUUGUUUCUCCUCGUGUUUUCCCUUGUGUUCUUCCGCGCCUUCUUCAUGUUUCCCCGUAGGAUCCACUCCAAACGUGAAAGGUCGGCCCAUAGGGUUCCGCCCUACAUCAUCUUGGUAUCAUGAGCCACGCUGAUCACGUUUUUGGAGCCCCUACCCCGUGUUUUCUAGCUUGAUUUUAUUGUUUUCGUCCUAAAUCCGAAAAUCCCCACCAAAAAUAGCCCCAAUUUUUUUUGUGAUUUGUUGGUUUUGAUGAUGUUUUUUUGAUUUUGAUCAGUGGAUUUGCUUGGUUUCGAGUGGAUCUAGCACCUCCCCCAUUUUCACCUCUUUCCUUCCACGAAAUCCAUCCAAUUUUUGCCCCGAAAUCAUCCUUUUCCGCCCCAAAAUCGCUCUGAUUUUCAAUUUUGCGAAUUUUUUCCGACACGAGCGGUACUACCGCUCCACAAGCGGUACUACCGCUGAGCGCCACAAGUGGUACUACCGCCCUCCCAAGCGGCACUACCACUCCACCCUGGGCAAGUUGCAAUUCCUUCUUCCGCAUCCCUUUUCCACCUAGUUUCGACAAAUUUUUGCCCCGGUGCCCACGCAUACUUCCGCAUACCACCACCACUUUCAGCAAACGCCACCACCGCUCACCGCUACAUCCUAUGAUGAUUUUCACACGUUUUCGUCUUUGAGAUUUUGGGUUGUGGUUCACAUGUCCUAUUGUGUUUCGGCUAUAUAGGUACGGUUCGACGUCAACAACACCACCGCUCAUCUCCAUCGACUACUCAUCAUCGCCAAGGACGGUAACCUCGACGACAUCAUCGCCAACGACUAGAGUGAGUGUGUGAACAUGAAUGUAAUGUCGGUGAGAAAUACGUACUCCCCCAAGCUUAGGCUUUUGGCCUAAGUUGGUUUAUGGCCAUGGGUAGCCUGAAUGAUAUCCAAAGUUGUAACUGGGGUCGUACUGAGAUGCAGUAGCCAAUGCCUCCUGAGCUGCAGCAUGGCGGUGAGCUUCCUCUGCUCUCCUCUCGUAUUCGGUUGCCUCCUCCCUGGUUACAACAUAUCUUCUUUUUGCCUGAUAAUCAAAAAGGACAGGAGCAGGGAGAGUAACAUGGACAGAGCAACGUCUGUCAAAGAUUAGUCGAUACUGGAGGAAUUGUUCAUUCCUCACAAGAAAAUGAUGACUGACCAUAGCAUUAUAAUCUAAAUAAGCGGGAGGCAACUCCCUAUCACCCUCACGUGGAGGUAUACCAAGAUAAUUAGCAACACGGGUCGCAUAAAUCCCUCCAAACAAAUCACCAACUAAACCAUUAUUAUGCAACCUACAUGCAACAAUUGCACCCAAGUUGUAAUCUUUAUUACCUAAUACAGCACUCUUGAGGACACAAAGAUUAGGAACACACAUGUGACAUGCUUCAUCUUUACCGUUAAUGCAUCUACCAAUGAAGAGAGCAAAAUAAUGUAUGGCAGGAAAAUGAAUGCUCCCUAUGGUAUCUUGUGUUAUAUCUCUAGAUUCUCCCACAGUAAUACUAGCAAGAAAGUAUUUAUAUUCAGAUUUACGGGGUUCAUUAACACUACCCCACUGCGGGAGUUUGCAAGCAGUAGUAAGAUCUUCUAGGUCCAUGGCAUAUGAUUGAUCAUAAAUAUCAAACAGGACACUUUGAGAAUUACGCGAAGAUGAAAAUUUAAACCUUCUCACGAAUGAAUCAGUCAAAUAGUAGUACUGAGGACACUUAUCUUGCAUGAAGUCCUCAAGGUCAGCAUUACGCACAUAAGCAUCAAAUUCAUCCUUGAUGCCUGCAUUGACCAUAAAUUCUUCUGACGGCUAUUCACAAGGCCGCACGUCAGCUUCCCUUGGUGGUUCAUCGUAUUGCUCACGCAUACCGCACCUGGGUCCUUUCUUUGUUGAAGAACUACCUUGGUACAUUUUCCUAGACAUAUUUCUUCCUCUGAAAAAUUUCUGAAAUUUUUAGUAACUCAAAAUAAAAGUGAACCAAACUAAACAAGAUUGGUAGCAACUACACCCACAAGUGCCUAGAGCCUAUAUCAUGCAUUAGAAUUACUUGGGACCUCAUAAAUUUGACAAGCAAGCUCAAGAACAGGGUCACCUAGGCAGCAAAAAUUUGCAAUGAUAAAGCACUAGAAUAAAAACUAAUUGGACCAUUGGAGGAAUCACAUACCAAGGAACAAUCUCCCAAAGAAGUUUUGUGAAUGGAGCUUUGAGCAAGGAGAUCGAAAAUCGCAGCAAAAUGAGUUAGAACUCGUGCUUGAGAUGGAUGGGGAUUUUUUGGGAGGAAGAUGGAGUGUGUGGGUGCAGGAAUAAGUGGAGUGGGGCCACCGUGGGCCCACGAGGCAGGGGGCGUGCCCUGGACCCUCGUGCCCAGGUGCUUGCCCCCCCUGUUGUGUUCUCAGUGCCUAAAAUCUCAAAUAUUCCAGAAAAAUCAUACUAAAUUGGCAGGGCAUUUGGAGAACUUUUAUUUGCGUGAUAUUUUUUAUUGCAUAGAUAAUUCAGAAAACAGACAGAUAAUACUAUAUUGCUAUAUUUAUUCUAAAUAACAGAAAGUAAAAAAGAAGGGUACAGAAGGUUGUGCCUUCUAGUUCAUCCAUCUCAUGCUCAUCAAAAGGAAUCCACUAACGAGGUUGAUCAAGUCUUGUUAACAAACUCAUUCCGAAUAACAUGGAACCGGAGAAAUUUCGAAUAACACUAGGUUACCUCAACAGGGAUAUGAACAUCCCCAAUAAUAAGAAUAUCAUAUUUCUUCUUGACAGUAGGAAGAGGAAAUUCAAACCUCCAAUAAUAAUAGUUGAACUUUUUCCAAUAGAAUUGAUGCUAUAAACUUGAGGUUGUUUCCUCGGAAAGUGUACCAUGUGCUCAUUACCAUUAACAUGAAAAGUGACAUUGCCUUUGUUGCAAUCAAUAACAGCCCCUGCAGUAUUCAAAAAGGGUCUACCAAGGAUAAUCGACAUACUAUCGUCCUCGGGAAUAUCAAGAAUAACAAAGUCCGUUAAGAUAGUGACGUUUGCGACCACAACAGGCACAUCCUCACAAAUACCGAUAGGUAUAGCAGUUGAUUUAUCAGCCAUUUGCAAAGAUAUUUUAGUAGGUGUCAACUUAUUCAACUCAAGUCUACGAUAUCAAGAGAGAGGCAUAACACUAACAUCGGCUCCAAGAUCACAUAAAGCAGUUUUAACAUAGUUUCUUUUAAUGGAGCAUGGUAUAGUUGGUACUCCUGGAUCUCCAAGUUUCUUUGGUAUUCCACCUUUAAAAGUAUAAUUAGCAAGCAUGGUGGAAAUUUCAGCUUCCGGUAUCUUUCUUUUAUUUGUAAUAAUAACCUUCAUGUAUUUAGCAUAAGGAUUUAUUUUAAGCAUAUCAGUUAAGCGCAUACGUAAGAAGAUAGGUCUAAUCAUUUCAGCAAAGCUCUCAAAAUCCUCAUCAUCCUUUUUCUUGGAUGGCUUAGGAGGAAAAGGCAUGGGUUUCUAAACCCAUGGUUCUCUUUCUUUACCGUGUUUCCUAGCAACAAAGUCUCUCUUAUCAUAACGUUGAUUCUUUGAUUGUGGGUUAUCAAGAUCAACAGCAGGUUCAAUCUCUUCAUCAUUAUCAUUGCUAGGUUGAGCAUUAACAUGAACAUUAUCAUUAACAUUAUCACUAGGUUCAUGUUCAUCACCAGAUUGUGUUUCAGCAUCAGAAAUAUCAUUGGGAUUCUCAGGUGUGUCUACAAUAGGUUCACUAGAAGCAUGCAAAGUCCUACCAUUUUUCUUUUUCUUCUUUUUAGAAGGACUAGGCAUCUAAAUUAUUUCUCUGAGAAUCUUGCUCAAUUCUCUUAGGUUGGCCUUCAGGAUACAAAGGUUCCUGAGUCAUUUUACCAGUUCUAGUAGCCACUCUAACAGCAAAGUCAUGUUUAUUGUUUAAUUCAUCGAGCAAAUCACUUUGAGCUUUAAGUAAUUGUUCUGCUUGAGUGGUAACCAUAGAAGCAUAUUUGCUAAUGAGUUUAAGUUCACCUUUAACUCUAGCCAUAUAAUCACUCAAGCAUCCAAUCAUGUAAGCAUUACUCUUUACUUCUCUACCAACAUAAGUAUUGAAACUUUCUUGUCUAGCCAUAAAGUCAUCAAAUUCAUCCAAACAUUGGCUAGGAAACUUAGUAGACGGGAUUUCAACUUUAUCAUAUCUAUAAAGAGAAUUUACCUUUACUACCUGUGUCGGGUUAUCAAGACCAUGUGUUUCUUCAAUAGGUGGUAAAUUAAGACCAUGUAUUUCUUCAACAGGAGGUAAAUUCUUAACAUCUUCAGCUUUAAUACAUUUUUCUUUCAUUGAUUUCUUUGCCUCUUCUUAGGAGUUGGUUUAGGAAUAGGCUCAGGAAUUGGCUCAGGAAGACUCCAAUUAUUUUCAUUAGUCAACAUAUUAUUCAAUAGCAAUUCAGCUUGGUCGACUAUUCUUUCCCUGAAAACACAACCAGCAUAACUAUCCAAGUGGUCCUUGGAAGCAUCGGUUAGUCCAUUAUAAAAGAUAUCAAGUAUUUCAUUUUUUCUUAAGAGGAUGAUCAGGCAAAGCAUUAAGUAGUCGGAGAAGCCUACCCCAAGCUUGUGGGAGACUCUCUUCUUCAAUUUGCACAAAAUUGUAUAUUUCCCUCAAGGCAGCUUGUUUCUUAUGAGCAGGGAAAUAUUUAGCAGAGAAGUAAUAAAUCAUACCUGGGGACUACGCACACAACCAAGAUCAAGAGAAUUAAACCAAGUUUUAGCAUCACCCUUUAAUGAGAACGGAAAUAUCUUAAGGAUAUAAUAAUAGCGAGAUUUCUCAUCGUUAGUGAAUAGGGUGGCUAUAUCAUUCAACUUAGUAAGAUGUGCCACAACAAUUUCAGAUUCAUAGCCAUAAAAAGGAUCGGAUUCAACCAAAGUAGUUAUCUCAGGAUCGACAGAGAAUUCAUAAUCCUUAUCAGUAACAAAGAUAGGUGAAAUAGCAAAAGCAGGGUCAUAUUUCAUUCUAGCAUUUAGAGAUUUCUGUUUCAGCUUAGCUAAUAACUUCUUAAGAUCAGAUCUAUCAUUGCAAGCAAGAAGAUCUCUAGCAGUUUCUUCAUCAUAACAUAACCCUCAGGAACAACAGGCAAUCCAUACUUAGGGGGAGAACCUUCAUCAUAACUAUCUUCAAUAAUAUCAUCUUCAAUAAUUUCAUUCUCUCUAACCCUAGCAAGUUGUUCAUCUAGAAAUUCACCUAAUGGCAAAGUAGUAUCAAUCACAGAAGUAGUUUCAUCAUAAGUAUCAUGCAUAGUAAAAGUGGCAUCAUCAAUAACAUGCGACAUAUCAGAAUUCAUAGCAGUAGCAGGUUUAGGUGUUGCAAGUUUACUCAAAACAGAAGGAGAAUCUAAUGCAAGCUAGAUGGCAGUUCCUUACCUCCCCUCGUAGUUGAGGGGAAAAUCUUAGUUCUUUCGUCUUUCAAGUUCCUCAUAGUGAUCAGCAGAUAUAAAUCCCAAGUGACUCAAAGAAUAGAGCUAUGCUCCCCGGCAACGGCGCCAGAAAAUAGUCUUGAUAACCCACAAGUAUAGGGGAUUGCAACAGCUUUCGAGGGUAGAGUAUUCAACCCAAAUUUAUUGAUUCGACACAAGGGGAGCCAAAGAAUAUUCUCAAGUAUUAGUAGUUGAGUUGUCAAUUCAACCACACCUGGUUAACUUAGUAUCUGCAGCAAAGUAUUUAGUAGCAAAGUAGUAUGAUAGUAACGGUAACAGUAGCAAAAGUGACGAUAGCAGUUUUGUAGUAAUUGUAACAGUAGCAACGAUAAAGUAAAUAAGAAAAACACAAUAUGUAAAAAGCUCGUAGGCAUUGGAUUAGUGAUGGAUAAUUAUGUCGGAUUGGAUUCCUCAUGUACUAGUUAUAACAUAAGGUGACACAGAACUAGCUCCAAUUCAUCAAUGUAAUGUAGGCAUGUAUUCUGAAUAUAGUCAUACAUGCUUAUGGAAAAGAACUUGCAUGACAUGUUUUGUCCUACCCUCCCGUGGCACCGGGGUCCUAGUGGAAACUAAGGGAUAUUAAGGCCUCCUUUUAAUAGAGUAGCGGACCAAAGCAUUAACACCAUAGUGAAUACAUGAACUCCUCGAACUACAGUCAUCACCGAGAAGUAUCCCGAUUAUUGUCACUUCGGGGUUGUCGGGUCAUAACGCAUAAUAGGUGACUAUAGGCUUGCAAGAUAGGAUCAAGAACUCACAUAUAUUCAUGAAAACAUAAUAGGUUCAGAUCUGAAAUCAUGGCACUCGGGCCCUAGUGACAAGCAUUAAGCAUAGCAAAGUCAUAGCAACAUCAAUCUCGGAACAUAGUGGAUACUAGGGAUCAAACCCUAACAAAACUAACUUGAUUACAUGGUAAAUCUCAUCCAACCCAUCACCGUCCAGCAAGCCUACGACGGAAUUACUCACGCACGGCGGUGAGCAUCAUGAAAUUGGUGAUGGAGGAUGGUUGAUAAUGACGACGGCGACGAAUCCCCCUCUCCGGAGCCCGAACGGACUCCAUAUCAGCCCUUCCGAGAGAGAUUAGGGCUUGGUGGUGGCUCCAUAUCGUAAAACGCGAUGAAACUUUCUCUCUGAUUUUUUUUCUCCACGAAAGAGAAUAUAUGGAGUUGGAGUUGAGGUCGGUGGACAUCCAGGGGGCCCACGAGGCAGGGGGCUCGCCCGGGGGGAGGGGGCGCGCCCCCCACCCUCGUGGACUGGGUGUGGGCCCCCUGGACUUGAUUCUUUCGCCAGUAUUUUUAUAUUUUCCAAAAAUAAUCUCCAUGGAUUUUUAGGUCAUUCCGAGAACUUUUGUUUCUGCACAAAAAUAACACCAUGGCAGUUCUGCUGAAAAUAGCGUCAGUCCGGGUUAGUUCCAUUCAAAUCAUGCAAGUUAGAGUCCAAAACAAGGGCAAAAGUGUUUGGAAAAGUAGAUAUCUUGGAGAGGUAUCAGUCGUCGACAUAGACUUGGUUGUGUCCGCUCCAUCUGCCCCGUCUGGUAGAAGGUACCGGCCCACGGCCAUGCCCAAUGUCGUUCUACCUUGCAAUGGUCGGGCAUCCAAUAGUCGUAUUGUAUGACUCACCGCAACUCCAACGAUCACGACCAACAUCAGGAAACACCGGUGUCGGGCAUGCCCACAUACUGUUCGAUGAAACAACCGACAUAGGCACACAGAUGCAGGUAUUUUCUUGUCCCAUAUGCAUUAAUCCGAUCAAUUUUAGGAUAUUUUUUUCAUUGUGAUGCAUAUUUUAGGACACAUACAUGAUGAAUGAAGGUCAAGGGCAUAUACAUUAUGACUUGGGUGAUACUGAAUUACCUUUGUUUCAUGUUGUGCAAACAUUAGGCACUAAGAAAAAAGGCACCAAAGGCAAGAGGUCUGACAUUCACAAGCCUUGAAGAUGUGUUGUUAAGUGAAGCUUUGUUUCUGAUCCUACAUAAGGCCCCCUCGAUCAACCUAGAGGAGAGGCCAGUUACGAAACUUGUAAUCCUAGCUAUCAUCCCCCUUUAUAUGGAGAGGCAAGGGGUAAAUCGAAGGUAUCUGACGCUAAGUCGACACCUCGGUAGCCAUUACCAUAUCCCAUCUAUAACCCCCUCAUAUGAGAUGUUUCCACCAUUAAUUACUACCACAAAGGAUGCUGGAGUACUGGCUUCUUGGGGGGAUUUGUGUGUAAGCACGCCCUCCACCCCACCUGUUUCCAGGGGGCGUGCCGCGGGAGCCUCCCAAGGGCUCUCGGUGCCAUCCAAUCUCCCAGGAAGGCGUGGACCCAGACUUCCCUCCUUGGUGGUCCAUGAUGGGUGCACUGCGGGCACGUCAGGGGCCACCGAUCAUGGGGAGGCUCCAAUCGUGCUCGUGAGCAAGGCCUCAGGCACCCGCAUGCAUGCAAAGGGGAACCCAGAUCCAUGUGUCAGUGUGUGGACCCUGCUAGACUGGGUCGGCCACGACAGGUGAGUCGUGCAUGUCGUUGCACCACCAGCUCGUGUGUGGCCCUCUAGCAAAACCUGCCUAUCAGUGUCUUUGCCUCGCAUCAGGAGUCUGCAUGAUGCGCUCGCGAUUGUCUGAUAUCAAUGGAGGCAUCGCACCCGGCAUAUUUUCCUUAGGGGUCCAUGGCGCAUGGUCCGGGGGGCGGCCAGGGCCACCUCUUUGUGUUGGCCUUGUGUCGAGCCAACGUGCGCCCUCUCGUGUGUUCUUCCACCUGCGUGUCAGUUCAUGUGUUGGCUCAGUCAGUCAGGACGCAGAGGCGUCUGGUUUGCUCGGAUGCGUAGGGGCUUGGCCUAGUUGUGCAUGGAGCGGUGUCCUAGAUAGCCCUUGCUGGCGCGGGGUCUGGCUGGGGCAUGUGGGGCGCUGGUUGGUCGGAGAGGGUCGUUCGGAUGUUGGGCAUGGGUGGUCGCUAUCUGCCUUCUCGCCCCCGUCGCCCUCGACCAACGUGUGUCAUUUCGUUCAUUUGUCCGGGCGUAUGAUGUUUGGGUUACUAGCUAUAGGUGGCGAUCGUGCCUAGGGUUUGCCCAAUUGUUCGUGCUCGCGCAUGGUUUUUGGACCCCACAUGGCUAUCCCACGCAACACCCCACCCAUCACCCCACUGAUUUCUUCGUGCCUGCGCAUUCGGGCACAUUGCGGGGCCGCUGUUUUUUGGUUGGGUAAACCGUGCUCGGCUAUUUUACUUUAUCUCUUUCUAUCCAGAGUCUCGUCCUAUCCAACCAGAGUCCGGAUGGAGUUGUGUUCGUUUUAUCUGGUUGAUUCUGUACGGCCAAUGUCUGCAUGAAUAUGUAUUCGUUCCAUUCGGUUGGUCGUAUCCGCCCGGUGCUCACGUGGUUUGUGUUUGUUAUAUGCUCCUUUGGUCGGUGGACGGUUUGCAUGCUUAUGUAAAUGAUGUCCGGCAGUGUCCCCUCCUAGUUGCCCCUAUGCUAGUGGCUUCAGUUAGUGUUUAGGUCAGUUGAGCCCAUUGGUCGGUGUCCUUGCGAUGGUCACUCUACUCAAUAAAAGCAUGUGGUUGCCUUUGCUUUUCUCCUCCUUCCUUCUUCCCAUCGUCGUCGUUGCCUUACUUUUUGCUCUGCGGAUCUCUUUCUUUGCAUUAUUGGAGGUGCUCUUUGAGCUCGUCCCUGCCAUUUAGCAGUUUCUUCCUGUUUUUCUUGCCUGUCAGUGUGGCCUUCGUCUUUCAUGCUGAUUGAGGUUGUUCUUCUUUCCUUUCUCUCAGUCUUCUUUUCUUCUUUAAUCGUGCUCUCUCUUCAUUUGUUCUUUUAGGUCUUUCAAGCUCUUAUUAUCGUUGAUGGGCGGCUAUAUUGUUGCUUGAGGUGGGCUCAUGAUUUUUUGUCAGUAGAGAUCGUGAUGGCAUUCUUUAUCCUUUAUCUUGGUUCGUGUUUUUCAUAUUGUCUAAUUUCAUUUUUGGUCCGUGCGGUAGAUACGACAGUAGCGAGUUGCUGGAAACUAUUGGCUUCGCAGCAUGUGGCUAGCACUGUAUGUUUUAUUUUUGCAUCGAGGCUUCUUUGAUGGACAAUGACCUGUUUUUCGUUUGUUCCCCGCGGUGAGGUUUUAUUGAUUACGUAUUUCUGUGCGGUUUGGAGUUCUUUGUUUUGUCUGCAAUUCCUGUGUGCUGAUCAUGAAUCACUGUAGACUACUGCUUUAUGUUGUUAUAUUUCGCGGGCUUAAAUUUAAUGUUUCAUCUAGGAUUAGGGUUAGGUUUUGUGGCCAUGGAGGUGGUUGAUGAUGGAGGCAUCUAUGAUCGAUCACCGUGGUCUGAGUCCUCCAUUACCAGGCUACCUGAGGUUAGUUUUGCAUUUUGACCGUUGUUGUUUAUUGCGCGUGGAUUUUUCAUCGUUGUUGAAUACUUUGUUGUUCUCUUACUGGUUGCACACGAUUUUAAUAGUUUUCCCUGUGGGGUGUAUUUACGAUUUUCUUUGACGUAUCUUUGUUUGUUGUUAAAAUUGGUAGGGCGUUGCUACGAACGUGAAGAUUCCCUAUGCAACCAUAUUAGAUUUAAUGCUCAAAGUUGUGGGAUUGUCGGUUCCUUGUUAUGAAGAGAAAGUGUAUGCCAAUGAAAAAUUGCAGGCCACUACUACUUUCAAUACAUCUACGUUGAUGUUUGAAGGUGCCCUCAUUCCUAGGUCCAUAUACAAUGUUAUAUCCAUCAAUGCUGACGAGGAUGACACUUCGCCUAUAGAAACCAUUAGAUAUAUAUAGGAUUCGUGCAACACAAAGUGUGAGAGAUUACAACUACAGACAUCGGGAGCUCCUCUCCCGAGUGGCAUGGGAGGCGCGGAGGCGCGAAUGCAGGGUUGCAUGGGGGAUGGCUGGGAGGCUCUCUGGCUGUCCAAUCUGAGAUCUGACAUCUCAUAUCGACGAUUAGGGUUGUGGCGUUGGUUGGAUGGAGGUGGUGGUUGGCUAUUGCCAAGUGGUGGUGCAGGGUGGCUGGGAGUAGAAAUUCAGAGGAUUUGUCCCCUAGAUGUUAGGGUUUCAUGCUUGGAAGUAGGAGGCUAUCCAUAUAUAGGCAGGGGAUUAUAAGGGCUUUGGGCUAGAAUUUGGAGAUGUUUUAGAUAGGGUUGGAGAGGAGAGAACAAAGGAAGCCCAAUAGGUAGUUUUUAUCUACAAAAUCAUUUAUUAAUUAAGCCGACUAUAGUGCCUCACAUAAUUAACGGUUAGGGCACCACACGAACUUCGAUUCGGACGAAAUUCGAAACAUAACCACACUAGAAAAUUUUGAGACCGCACAAAUCAUCCCAAAUUGAUCAGAGAGCGUUGGGCAUUUAUUUAGAAAAUAUCUCCACUUACUACAUAAACGAAGGGUCCGCAUAACAGGUGAUAACAAGGCUUGUGCAAACGUUGCGAAAAAAUGUGGGUACCUCCCAAAUCUCACAACGAGGUCGUGUCCAACAAUUCAGGUGAGUCUCAAAUCGCAACACAGAAGAGAAAAUGGAUUUACUUAUUCAUCGUUUAAAAGAUGGCAAAAAUAAAAUAGUCAAGUUAAUUAUUUAAUUAAUGAAAAUAAUUUUUAAUUUGGGGAAAACUCCAUGAUGUCAACCCCAUCACCCGAAAAUAUUGGAUCGCACCUCGUGUCACUCUUGGCGACUCGGGCGUUGCCUCUAGGCUGAUGCCACUAGAGCCCUCUCUAACAUGUAUCCUCCCCUCGCCGUUGCAUGUUUGCCAUUGGGCAAAUCCCUUGCAUUGCUUGGCGCCUGGGCGACGCAUUAUAUUUGAUCUCGGUGGCAACCACCAUGGUUGCAUGUUGGGAGGAGACAACAAGUCUGGUGGGCAUGUGCGGUGUGGAGAUGGGAGGCGCGGAGGAGGCUUUGUCGCAUGCGGCAGGCCUAUGUGUGGCUUAUCAUCAGGAGGUAUGAUGGUGGGCGUGCUCGGGGGCNNNNNNNNNNNNNNNNNNNNNNNNNNNNNNNNNNNNNNNNNNNNNNNNNNNNNNNNNNNNNNNNNNNNNNNNNNNNNNNNNNNNNNNNNNNNNNNNNNNNNNNNNNNNNNNNNNNNNNNNNNNNNNNNNNNNNNNNNNNNNNNNNNNNNNNNNNNNNNNNNNNNNNNNNNNNNNNNNNNNNNNNNNNNNNNNNNNNNNNNNNNNNNNNNNNNNNNNNNNNNNNNNNNNNNNNNNNNUGCUCGGGGGCGGGCAAAAUGCUCUGGUCAGGGGGGGGGGGUCUGUCAGUUGUGCGUAGCAGUGGUUGCGCUUACCGCGGGGGUGAGUCGGCAAUGGUGAUUUUCCUUUCGUGCUCCUGUUUUGGUCAUGUCGUCGGCCUGGGUAGGGCUCUAUCCGGCGUGGUGGUAGUCGAUGGUGGUGUGCUCUCCCGUCGGUGUUGGUCCUUGUGGUGACCAUGCCGCCGUGGAUUGUAGGGGCCACCGACAGGUCUUCAUGAGGAUUUCUUCCUCCAGAUCUGAUAGUUGACUUCGGUGGAGAGAUGCAAAAUAUGGAUGACGACCUAACGCAAAUGAAUGGUUGUGAAGUGGGGGCAAUCACAAAUCACAUGUAGCUGUUGGGAUCUAGAAAAAGUGGUGGCCACAACACAUAAGUGACGUCCACGAUAGUGCAACUCAAUCAUCGGGUCUCGACGGGGUGAAAAUCUAAGAAUGGCCCGAGUUGGUUAUACCUAACAAUGACGAUUUUUUAAGUCAUUGUCUUGUUGAAAACAUUGCUCGAAUACACGGGGAGAGCCUAGAUUCUAGCCUUGGAUGAUUGGAUCGGGUGACAUCGAUGCUAAGCGUCGCUACGUGUUGUUGAAGAACCUCGUCGUCCAUGUAGUAUCAUGAAAUAAGUGGUGCACAUAUGAUCAUUGUUGUAUAAUUUUCCUUGCCUACACAUAACUUUGAUCUUAUAUAAUUUUGCUUUGUUUUUUUAAUUUUUCCUCACCUAUCCAUAACUUUAAUCUUAUAUAAUUUUGCUAUUUGUUAGUGUGUUCUUGUGCAUGUGUUAGGGUUGGUUGUGUGCAUCCUAGUCCAGGUGUGUCAAUUGUGUUUGUAUCCCUUUGAUGCUCCAUUUUAAGCCAAUAAAAAUCCACUCUUUGUUGAAAAAAGUUACAUAGAAAUGUCACCGACCACACAUUAGAUAGGAAAGGAUAUUUCUCUAAACAUCACACAGAGGUGCCUGCAAACCAAAAAAGAAAGUACAGCACCGUAAGUCUGGAGUAUCAACUUCCCAUUAAUUUAGCUACCCUAGGUCCAAGAAGAAAGAAAGAAACCAAUCAGCCUAACAUUCUGCAAAUACCCUAGGAUGUUCGGCCUGUGCACCGACAGAUUCGGCCUGUGCAAGACCGCAUGGGAACAGGGCUACAGCUGCUGCUCCUUUGGCGAACGAACAUUACCAGUAGAUCCUACAAUAUGUUCGGCACAUGCGAGGAGAGUUUUUCCUGCAAUUCCCUGAUCUGAGAACAGAGCUCGACCUUCUGCUCCUUGUAGCUGUGAAGCAAGAAGUCUUUCCCUCCGAUAACUUCCUUCAGCUCACCCACCUCCCUCUUGAGCAUCUCCAUCCUCUCCAACUCUUCUUUCUUCUUCCCAAUACCAAUAAAAUGCAGCUCAGGGUCACCGACGCUGCUAUUGGCGUAGCCAUUAGCAUGCCCAUUGGUGGCAUCUGACUGCCAGUGUCCAACAUGCAACGGCUUAUCGUGAGAGAGUGCUUCGCCAACACAAUGGUCUGUGAUGAUCUUCCUCAGAUGCUGGAUCUCUCGCUCAGAAUCAAAUAUAUCUCGGUUAGCAGACUCCAGCUGAGACUGCAAAUUAGACGACUGCUUCUCCUGGAUGGCAAGAGAGUUCUUAAGGUCAGCAAUCUGAGCUUGAAUCUCCAUGAUCAUCUCAUCACGUCUUUUCAGGUGCUGCCUCAGCUUCUGUAUGACCUCUCUCUUGCUAUAAAUGUCAGAUCCUGACUCUGAAACACGUGGGGAGCCAGAACUGUUUGAGUACUGAAAUGGUUUACGAGGAUCUUCAAGGCGGUCAGGUGAUGAUAUCCACAUGACGCCACUGUUGUCCUUGCUUGAUUCUUGCACUGGUAUUUUCACAAGUGGAAGCGAGGGUUCAGCUGAUUUUGAUGGACUUGCAGGAGGAUGCUUGACUUCCACUCCACCAUCUGAAUGCCCUGCACAUUACAAUCAGCAUUUAAUAUUUUCAACGUUUUGGAAAAGCUGUUACACCAUGAAGAAAGGGUUGGGUUUCAAACGCCAAAUUAAGGCGCCAAACUAAUGAUACAAUGUGACCAAGGUACUUUAAUUCAAUCAGCAUAAUUGAACAAACAACCAAGUAGGAAGAUGACAUCUGUGUCUCUAAAUGCUGAACUCAUGCCCAAAAUUGCAACUUUGACAUAAAUACAAUAAUGCAAUCAUCCUGACUAACUUUGCAGAUCCCGGUGCUCAACAGCUAAUAGGGAAGUCGAAUCUAUGACAAUCAUAGAUAUUCGAGAGUAAGGAGGAAGAAAGGCGACCACCAAGGUGGGGGCGUGCUGUGCAGUGUUUGUUAUGACUGCAAAGCAACACGUGAAAACAAAUGGACUACUGUCAUUAGGGACCUACCUAGCAGCUACACAGCUGGCGGAGAGGCUCUGAGAGUGUCCUGUAUCCACCGGGAUUGAGGCUUUAUCUUGAUACAAUACUCAUAUGACAAAGCUAGCAAUGCAACUACCCAACCCCACUAAAUGUCUGUCGUUUGCAAGACAAUGUACUGCACAUGAAAGACAAAGGAGGGUGCAGGUUUACGAUAACUUGUCAGUUGUAGUUCUGAAAAUAAAUUAAAUAUCCUUAGAUUUGUAGGUUGUACUAGCCAAGAACUUGUUUGGCUGGUUAGUGGUUACAGCAGAAUGAUUUUGCUCUAAGCUGUACUCCCUCUGUAAACUAAUAUAAGACAUUUUAGGUCACUACUUUAGUGACAAAAAAGUCUUAUAUUUUAAAUUUUUUAUGGGGAAAACGUCUUAUAUUAGUUUGCAGAGGGAGUACUUCUGAAAGUAAAUCAAAUAUCCUUAGAUUGGUAGAUUUUACUAGCCAAAUAGAACUUGUUUGGCUGGCUAAUGGUUACAACACAAUGAUUUUGUUAAGUAGCAAUCUGAAAUCUGACCUGGGGACAAUUCCUAUCAUUUCCGGAUCUGUAGAUUUCCGUACACUGUAGAACCUAAGGUGCUAGCUCUUGACAAAUUUAAAAGCCAUAUGUUCAUAGGAACGAAGUCCAUGCCAUCUCACCGUUGCUCCUUGUAUUGUGCUUAAGAAAUUUUGUGAUCCAAUUAUGCAUUUCAUCACUAAUUAAGUUACAACUCUGUCACACUUAAUAUGAUCUAACAAACUCAACUGAGCUCUCCGGUUGUAUUUCUAUCUUUGACAGGUAACUGACCAAGAGUUAUAUAGUUACCAUGCGGAAAUGUAAAUAAAAGCCCCAAACUAUAAGGUAGAACUUUGUUUGCGUACAUGACAAAACCACAAAUUAGAAACUGCCAUGCAUCUAACUAGAUUUUUUGCAGAUAUAUAAAGCAACUAACAAUAUAGUGCCAGAUCUUUGUGCCGCUACAUUACACUUUGAUACCAAACUACCAUACUGAAAUUUCCAUAUUUUUACAUAUUAUAUGCAACCAUGUGUAACUUAUCAUCUCCAAAUGGACAUGAAACUGAUAAGAGACCAAGAUCAUGAUCAAUGCACGGCAAAGAUGACGAUUUGAUCAUAACUAAGCCUUUUAGUAGACCAAUAUGCACUUGCUCUACUUGAUGUCCUUUAGUACAGAAACUCGGAGAUAUAAAUAAACAACUGAAACCUUGAAUAUACAAUUUGACUAAAGGUUCAGUGGAAAAUGAGAAGCAGGCAACAGAAUAUACUAAGUUAUAGAAGUACCUGAAAUACAAUAGUAGCAGCUAGUUUGGCCACGAAACCUGCAUAGGUUUGAGUGCAAUUCACAUCCUCCAGGCCUACUUUCGGCUGCAGUUUUGCAUAGUAAGCAUAAAGCAUAUAAAUAGUACGAAAGGGGAUAAAGGUUUCAACUGAAAAUGGGAGAAUUACACCUUUGGAAAAGCCAUUCUGCUGCUUCGUAUCAAACAUUUGCUUUAAUUUGCAUCCAAGUUUGACGGAGAAAGUGCUUAGUAAAACUCCUCCGGCAACAAGAAUCCAGUUUGGUCCUCCUUGGAGAUGAUCUACUCUUCCUGCCUUCUGUAUGCCCCUAUUCGUCUUAGACUUCAUCCUAACUCCUAAGAUAACCAGUUUAUUCAGCCAAAUGUAUAAAUGCGGUAGCUUGACACAUGUAUGGCAAUGUUUUCAGCACCACGGCUCCCAUAUUAGUACAGACAAGAGAAUAUCUAACCUACUAAAACAUGUGGCAUAUGGGUUUCUCCACGGUAGCUUAUUUCUCAACAACAAUAACCUUCUGUUUUAAAAAAGGAAGUAUAACAUAUGGCCUCAAUGAAUAAGCAGAUACAACACUGAUAUUUGGUGUCGUCAGAACAAACAGCGAAAGCUAAAAAUACUAAGUUGAGACACUUAUUUUGGGAUGGAGGGAGUAUGUCAUUAGAUUUUUCUUGCAUAUUAUGCACUUUUUGUUAUCUUUAUGACAUAUUAUGGUUGGAAACUGCAGUCAAAGCUUUGCAUUAGAGAUCGAAGAGACAUAACAAGACCUCAUCACUCGAGACGCGAUCACUGUUGAAGUGUGUAUGUGGAUUGCCUAGCCCUUUCAAAAAGUUUGGACUUUUGGUUGCGUUUGCUAGUGCAUGAAGCUUAACAUGGUAUCAGGGUCUAAGGUCUUGAGUUCAAGUCCUGGCUUUCACAAUUUAUCAAAAAAAAUCUGCUGCCCCCCUCUGUGUCCACGUAUAGGCCUCUUGAGCCAUACCUCUGAGUCUAUUCACGUGUUGACUUCACGUGUCACAUGUGAGAGGGGGUGUUGAUGUGGAUUGCCUAGCCCUUUCCAUAAGUUUGGACUUUUGGAUGAGUUGGCUAGUGAAUGAAGCUUAACAAUCACCUCCCACAGGUUGACGCUCUUUCCUACGGUUACGAGUAUAUGACAUAGGCCUGCUGUUUUGGCUCGCCUCUCCAAGCCAGCUGUGUCCAGUUCAGAGGUUUUUAUUUUUCCUAUUUUGGUUCUUGUUGUUCUCGUCUUUCUUUGGCAUUGGGCUUCCCUGUACACAACGUAUUAUUUCCCCUUAUAUUGCAUGUCAGAGCUCUUGCCUUUUACGAAAAAAGGUUUUUGGAACAAAUGAAGUAACUUCAUAAGAGAUUAGUUUUUUUUCACAUAAUGUAUAGGAAAUAGAGGACAUAACAAUACGGUAUUACAGCAUUCAACCGUUGCUAUAGCUAUUGAGCGUGGGAUCUUAUUUAGGGAUUGCUCAACAUCAAUAACCAUGAUAGGUGUUAACUACACUUAACACAAAGGAAUCACACCUUAAGGCUAAACUGUUAUCUUUUGGGUCCCUACUCCAGGAACAAUAAGCACGUAGCAAUGCAGGAUUCCAGUUUCAGUAGAAUAUAAGCAUUCACACUGGAGAAAUUUGUUCACAUAGGUGUCUAGUUCCUUGUCUCCAAGCCUCAAACCUACCACGGAAGUAGUUGGUAUAAUCAUUGCUAAAAGUACCACUCCCUCCGAUCCAUAUUAAUUGUCGCAGCUUUGGUGCAAAGUUGUACUAAAGCUGCGACAUAUAAUUUGGAUCGGAGGGAGUAACUAUUUCUUCGUGAACAGACUGAUUUGACUUGUUCUUACUCUACCAGUUUCAACGGAGACGACAGAACAUGCAUUUUCUGCCAUGGAACUUGUGAAGACAAGGCUUCAGACUAAAAUGGAAGAUGGAUUUCUAAGGGAUUGCCUCAUAAUUUAUAUCGAAAAGGAGAUUGCGGUUGGAAUAUCAACAGAUGCAAUUAUAGAUGAGUUCGAUGAAUCACCAUGCCGAUGAAUCACCAUGCAAUUCAUCGUGUGUAGAGCAGUGGUCUCCUGAGGCUUCCUCGUUUUCGCGCCGCGCGUGUUCGUCCGAUUGGCUUUGGUCGGGUCAACGCGCAUGUGGUUGCCGUUCGAUUUUCACUUGUUGUUUUGACUCAGCAGUCCUGCGUGGAAGCCGAUGACUGGUGGGCUCAGUGAGUUCUGUUAGGCUAGUGGAGUAACAUAGGUAGUAACUUAGAUGCCACAUAAGCAAAAAUGAUGAGAUGGCAAGUAGUUAAUGAGGAAAAAGGCAAAUAGAGUAACAUAAUAUGUUAUCAUCACAUAACGCUUCCCAAUGCAAAACGAGUCUACAAAGUAAUAAAUGAAGAUAUCUAUGUUACUACAUAUAUAAUACUACCCACUAUGAAGGUAGUAAUAUAGAGCAUGCUUGGAUACAUUUUAGUCCCAUGACUAAAAGUAGUGGGACUAAAACUUGCUAGUCUCACCCAUGCUUGGAUCAAAAUACUAAAGAGACUAAAAUCUAGUUAUUGAGCAUUUAUUAUCCUCCAAACCCUCCAAUUCAGAACUAAGGAGAGGAAUUAAAUGAGGAGAAAGAGAGCUAAUACAUAUUUUAAUAGGUUUUCCAUGACUAAAAGAUUUUAGCCUCAAGACUAGUCCUAGCCUCUCUUUAGUCAAGGGUGCUUGGAAUUUUAGUCUCUCAUAGAUGCAUGUUACUAGUCUAAAUUACUCUUCCCUAUGACCAGCCUUAUUAGCUGGGUUCGAAAAUCUCUGGUGACCACUCCUCGCGCGUCGCGUGGUUCGUCCGCGCUGACUGCGGCGUGCGUGCGUCGGUGGGCCGUGGAGGGGUUGGCCGAUGCAUCUGCACCCGUUUUGCACGCCCUCCUCGCGAUGACUGGUGGGCCAUGUUGCUGCUGGUCCCGCUCGUCGGUGGGUGCACUUGGUUGUUUUUCUCUGUGUGUGGUGUUGCUUCUUGUACGUAUUUGGAGAGAGAGAGGGGCUGGGCACCGAUUCAUGUGCGUGUGGGGCCCUGGCUGACGGAUGGAUAGUGUGUGCGUCGUGCGUGCCUCGCCUGCCAUCUGAGUUUGGAGAGAGAGGAGGUGGACGGGCAAAAUAUCUCGCGAGCAGGCGCUUGGGACGCUGGGAUGUCAAAAAACACGCACAAAAGAUGUCCCAGGUCAAAUGACAUGCGGGCCAACCUUCAUGGGCCCCGUAUGGCAGUAAAGGAGCAGGCGAACAAGACGGUAAGAAAGGGAUCCCACCCGGUGCUGAGCCCUCUCUCCAACCGCGCGAGCGAACGCAUGGGAAGUCAAAAAGCAUGCACUGUGCGUGCAUCAUCUGCGGUGGUUAAGAGAUGGACUGACACGUGCACACACGUUGCUGCCUUUUCACACUAUGACUUGUGGGCCGAGUUGGCUGCUGGUCCCACGGGUCUGUGCCUUGCCUUUGUUCUCGCUCGUAUAUCAUCUGGGGUUGGAGAGAGCCGGAUCGUGGGUCGUGCGUCGUGCCGUGCGCCAUGCCGUGUCCUGCGGCUGGGUGUGGGGGUUCGCUUUUGCUGUAGCGAUGAACGUGCAGCACAGACAGCGUUCCCUCCCAUCCCGACCCCUGCAGGCCUGCACCCCCUCCUUCCCUCUCUCCUCCUUUCUCCUCCCCAGCCACCAAUCCGCCUUCUCGUCUCGCUGCUUCGUCUCCUCCACCGCCUUGUCUCCGGCAGCCCUACCUCACAACACGUUUCUCGAGGAGCAACGCGAGCAAGGCCAGCAGGAGUGGAUCGAGGCUUCGCACGCUGGCUCCGUCAUUUGCUUCGCCACGUUUUGGAUUCACGCCGCCGUGUGUGAUGGUUCUAGAUCGGCGCAGGUCGUCGUCGCGGAAUAUCAGGGGCGGUGGGUUCUUCACAUCGAGGGUUGGCAAGCUGGGGAGGGUCAAGAGGCUGACAGAGCGUGUUUAGAGCAGCGAGGUCGGCUGUAGGGGAGCGGCUACCCCAGAGCUUCAGACUGCGCACGCGUUGCGAGUUUGGCUGUGGGGGAGCGGCUGCCCGGAGCUCGGUUGCGCACACCUCAUGGGAUCUGGUCUCACCAGGCACUCGAUGCCGGCCUCGUCGGCUUCCCGAGGUGACACAACAACGGUCACGCUCGACACCCUCUUUCGCGAUUCGAUGACGGCCGGCUCAUACGGCGGCCUCAGCGGGUGGCUAACACAACUGCAGCUGGUGCACGAGCUCUCAGUCGACACAUCCACACUCGACUCCUCGUCUUGGUACCAGCUUUUGCAGCAUGUUUGAAGUUUUCUCCUUUUCCCCUUCUUCAUUUGUUUCACAUGGUUCUGCUCGGGUGGAUACAGGGUGCGGAGUGCGGGCUGAGAGUUGGAUGCUUUGUGCUAGCAUAUAGAAGUGCUGCAACCACCAUUGUUCCGGCUGUGAGGUAUAAUGCUAAUUGGGCUUGCGAAUUAAUCAUGUCUGGGAAUGGAUUGCCUAAUUGUUGGGGUUUCUCUGUAUGUGAUUUCUUUUACUCAUUUUAGAUUCUUAAUUCGGUGGUUCUUGAUUGCAACCUGGGGUCAUCCUGUUCCUACUCACAUGUUACAGUAGUGUUUUGUAUAAUAUACCCAAGCUCUCGCUCCUGAAAAUUAUCCAUCUGUUCUCUGAUGCACGCAGGUCACUAGAGAGGGAGUCUGGCUUGCGAGUUUCGCUGAUGCGGUCAAAACCGCGAUGCCAAACUCUGAGGAGAUACCAAAGGUGUACUGGGAGGCGGUGCUUCCUGGAAUCCCAAUGCCUCCACCUAUUAUCAACCUGCUGUUAGCCCAGCAAGAUGGUAUCUCUCUCCUUCCCUCCCCCCCUCCCUUCCCACCUUGGUGACCUCAUUUAAGUGGUUUUGGUAAUUGGUGGUACAACUUUCCCUCUUUGAUACCUACAAAUUCUUUAUAAUGAUCGACUCUUAGUUUGCAAUCCAUUAUGGAACAUAAAUGAACAUAAUAGAUGUGAAUCUUUUGUUCUGAUGAAUGAUAAAUGUUUGACUUAAAGCAUAGACUAUUGCAUAUACAAUAUGAUAUGUGUGCCAUAAAGGAUAAAUUAACCUUUUCUCUACCGGUAUACUGAGAGCUUACAGUGGCUAAUUUGAUAAGAAGCAUAGUACUUGUAUCAUUUGGAAAAUGACCCUUCUGUAUUUCAUUUUCAGGGAUAGUCCUGUUGUGCUUUGUUUUUAUAUGAUCUAAAACUACAGAGUUCUUGUGCAAUUCAGAUGUUCUGUUUAGUACGAAUUUUACAAUAUCUGAACUUCUGAAAUCAGUAUAAGUCUAACAGCCUUGCAACUAAACCAAAACUAAAACUGCAGGGAUCUUGUGACAGCCUUGCAACCAAAACUAGAACUACAUGGAUCUUAUGUAGUUGAAAGCUAGCUGUCAUUUGUUGGAAUAUCAAUUAUCUUGUUUGUGCACGAUUAACCUGCUUAUCAUGAAAAAGUAGAAUAUUUUAGGACGGACCGUCGAGUUGCUUGGCAUUUGUUUAGAUCUUUAUGAGAAGCAGCUCUUCUCAGUGGGACUUUUCUUUUUUAUUCAUCUUGGUAAUCUAAAAAAUAUACUUCUUAGUUAGAUAUCAGUUACACAACUAGAACACCAUGAAUUCACUGUUUUUGUAGGACCUUGCUGCUGUGAAUCAGUGUAAUAAACUUGGCAUACAAAACACAUGUAGAUAUUGUUUUAUUCAUCAAAUAACACAUUCAGAAUCCUUGUUCACAAGGACCCUGCUGAUGCGAGUCAAUGUAAUAAUUUUCUUUAUGAUUCUAUCUACCCAUAUGAGCCACUCAAUUGAAUUAAUUUUCAUAUUCCAGAUGUUCUCUUUUGUUGGUUGCGGUUCUGCAUAACUAUUGCUGGUCGCUGGAGCAGAAGCAGUGAAGCUUGAAGUUUAUAAGUUCGGGGGAUGGCAAUAAUACUGCUGUUUACGCUGUCUGUCGCUGUUAUUUCAUGUUUCUGAAUUUAAGUCCCGAGAACUAAGUGUCGGUGUCAUCAAACUUUAAUGUUAUGUCAUGUCUUGAGAGUUUGGUUUGUGCGAGUGUGUACUAAACUACUCUUGGAUGCUAUGUUUGAGUCAAAUUGGUGUUAAAUCUGCAACAUAUUGUUAUAUUUGUCACUUGUUUGCUACCACUGCUUGUUAACUGUUAAGAAAAGAUGGGGUAUAGAGGAAGUUUUGGCAAAAGUAAAUAGCACACUAUCUUUUUACAUGAGGAAACUGCAGACUGGUGGAGCACUUCCUGCUAAUAUGAUAGACAUUGCUGCACUUAAUUGGUUAUCUGUAGUAUAUCUCAAUUUUGGAUGUGACAUGUCAUGUAUUUAUAUGCUAAAAUUGAGCUUGUUUUUGCAGUUCCAUAGGUAGGGGUAUGUAAUUAGUCGGUAUAUUUUUAAAC